This 425-nucleotide ribosomal RNA is filed under the name uncultured Escherichia sp. RNAcentral describes it as "bacterial SSU rRNA". It matches the Rfam family "Bacterial small subunit ribosomal RNA", at positions 30 to 448 of the family's 1533-position model. Lineage: Bacteria; Pseudomonadati; Pseudomonadota; Gammaproteobacteria; Enterobacterales; Enterobacteriaceae. The record is from RNAcentral.
AUUGAACGCUGGCGGCAGGCCUAACACAUGCAAGUCGAACGGUAACAGGAAACAGCUUGCUGUUUCGCUGACGAGUGGCGGACGGGUGAGUAAUGUCUGGGAAACUGCCUGAUGGAGGGGGAUAACUACUGGAAACGGUAGCUAAUACCGCAUAACGUCGCAANGACCAAAGAGGGGGACCUUCGGGCCUCUUGCCAUCGGAUGUGCCCAGAUGGGAUUAGCUAGUAGGUGGGGUAACGGCUCACCUAGGCGACGAUCCCUAGCUGGUCUGAGAGGAUGACCAGCCACACUGGAACUGAGACACGGUCCAGACUCCUACGGGAGGCAGCAGUGGGGAAUAUUGCACAAUGGGCGCAAGCCUGAUGCAGCCAUGCCGCGUGUAUGAAGAAGGCCUUCGGGUUGUAAAGUACUUUCAGCGGGGAGGA